RNAcentral lists this unclassified non-coding RNA (227 nucleotides) under Hevea brasiliensis (rubber tree). The record is from RNAcentral. Lineage: Eukaryota; Viridiplantae; Streptophyta; Magnoliopsida; Malpighiales; Euphorbiaceae.
AAAAAACACAAUGACAAAAAUCAAGCCUUCCUACUGUGUGAUCUUUACUGUUAGAGAAAAGGAAGGAUAGCUUUAUCCAUUUCGACAAGUUUGCACCUCGGAAUCAUGCAGCGGAAACUAAGUUGAAACAAAUGAAAUUUCAUAUAACCACCAUCUCACAACAACAACAAAAAAAGAGUAAUUUUAUAUGUUCACUUUCAGAAUCCAAGAGGAAGUUGGCAUUAUCA